AGUGAACGCUGGCGGUAGGCCUAACACAUGCAAGUCGAACGGCAGCACAGUAGGAGCUUGCUCUUACGGGUGGCGAGUGGCGGACGGGUGAGGAAUACAUCUGAAUCUACUUUUUCGUGGGGGAUAACGCAGGGAAACUUACGCUAAUACCGCAUACGACCUACGGGUGAAAGCAGGGGAUCUUCGGACCUUGCGCGAUUGAAUGAGCCGAUGUCGGAUUAGCUAGUUGGCGGGGUAAAGGCCCACCAAGGCGACGAUCCGUAGCUGGUCUGAGAGGAUGAUCAGCCACACUGGAACUGAGACACGGUCCAGACUCCUACGGGAGGCAGCAGUGGGGAAUAUUGGACAAUGGGCGCAAGCCUGAUCCAGCCAUACCGCGUGGGUGAAGAAGGCCUUCGGGUUGUAAAGCCCUUUUGUUGGGAAAGAAAAGCAGCAGGUUAAUACCCCGCUGUUCUGACGGUACCCAAAGAAUAAGCACCGGCUAACUUCGUG
RNAcentral lists this ribosomal RNA (492 nucleotides) under uncultured bacterium. Its description in RNAcentral is "partial 16S ribosomal RNA". It matches the Rfam family "Bacterial small subunit ribosomal RNA", at positions 29 to 507 of the family's 1533-position model. The record is from RNAcentral.